Molecule: long non-coding RNA, 2313 nt
Filed under: Paramuricea clavata
Lineage: Eukaryota; Metazoa; Cnidaria; Anthozoa; Malacalcyonacea; Plexauridae
Source: RNAcentral
GUUUGCAUUUGGAUUUGUUGAAGGACAAGCCUGACUGAGAUGACCAAUGUUCUAAGUUCACAAGAUCAGCUUGGAGAGAUGCUACAUCGUCCUGAGAUGUAAUUGCCGAGAAUAGCUUAGUGUCAUCGGCAAACAUUGCAACUCGAGAGUACAAGUCUGCUUCGGGUAGAUCAUUCACAUAUAACAGGAAGAGUGCACUCAGUGCAGGACCAAGAAUUGACCCUUGUGGAACGCCUGAGGUCACAGGAAGGGUGCUUGAGGUUACGCCGAGUACAGUCACGCGUUGACGACGAUCUGUCAAAUAUGACUCGAACCAAUUCAGUAGAUUACCGCCGAUACUUUGUUUACUCUCUGAGGACUGAUAGUGGAUUUUAAUAUGCGUACUCGAUCAAGUAUUUGUCAAUGUAUGCUUUCUUCGUGUACUCGAUCAGAAGUAGUCGGCUGUACGCUUGCUAUUAAGCAUACUCAAUCAAAAGUAUUAAAACGGGCAAACAGCUGUACGCUUUCUAAGCGUACUCGAUCAAAACUUAAACGGUUGUACCCAUAUUCGGUAUACUCGAUCAAAACUAAACGACUGUACGCAUAUUUUGUGUGCUCCAUCUAGUUUAUAUUCAAAAUAUCCAUCAGACAUCACAUGUAUCUAAACUAUCAAACUUUAUAAUUCCAUCGCGGCAGUCGGGCUGCAAGCAGUGUGACCGGCAGUCAGGAAAUUUAGUCCUAUUUAAAGUGUUAAAAAUAUUCUCUUAAAAAAAUUAAACCACCCCACACACAACCCUAAGACCGAAGCUUAAAAUCCAGUACUCAAAAGAAGUUGAAAAAAAAAUUUAACUUGAAAAUAGAACUGUUCCUUACUUGCGGUACUCGAACCCGGAAGCCACGCUUCGCAGGCGGGCGCCUAAGCCACUGCGCGACGAGGAGCCCGCUCCGUUUACUCGUAAAUAAUGCACUUUAAAGGAGUGGGAGUAAGCUAAGAUUUAAAUCUUGACGCGAAUACGCUGAAUACGCAGAUAUUUUGCAAAUCCUUUAGCUGGAGUAAACGCUUAGCAAGCGUCUUGUUUUGAUCGUAUUUUGAGCUCAAAAUAUUUUAUUUUGAAGGCUUUAAAACGCAGUUUUGAUCCUAACGUACGGACCAACUGGCGGCCGACAGGAGAAUGUGUAGCGUGCUAAAUAUAACUUUACUUGUGCAUGUAGGCACAGAAUAAGAAGAUACAGCAGAAGCGUCACUCGAGUCGGUUCCCUUAUUGUUUUACGUCCACGAAAAUUUUAACUCGCUCACGCCAUCCUGGCUAGUACAACCGGAAGUUUUUAUCAGGUUUUGGUAGGUACAAAGUGCCGGUUGUACCAGGGCGCUAUAAAACACGGGCGGGGAAACGCGCUAAUAAAUGACCGUGCUACGUGUGAUGCACAUUAGGAUUGGUGCGAGCGCGCUUUCUCUAAAAAAAACCAGAAAAUCGCGUACAAGAUGGCAACAAAAAAAUGUAAACAAGCAAACGAGAAAACAAUCAAUCAAUCAAUCAAUCAAUCAAACUUUAUUUACCCACGGUACUAUUUCACAAAGACAAAAACUAAAAUAUUUACAAGAUGUGAUCUUCCAAUAGGCCGUGCUAUAUAUGUAUGAAUAAUUACAUGCAAUUAUAAAAAUAUUUUAUUAAGUUAAUACAAUAAAAUCGAAGAGAAAAAGAAAAAAGAUAAAUUGAUUAUCAAGAAUUAUUACGACUAUUUGACACUAGAGCCCUUUUGAAGGUUGACAAUGAACCCAUAUUUUUUAUAUUAGGUAAUAAAUCAUUCCAAGCUACAGCUCCUCUGUACGAGAAUGAUUUUUUACAAAAGUUGGUACUUGGUCUCGGGAGUGCAAAGUUAAAAUCAGCCUGCCUAGUUUGAUGAUUAUGAAGUGUACUGGUUUUCGUGAAUAAAUCAAUUAGGUAAUCAGGCACCAUAUUAUUAUUUACCUGAUACAUAGUAGUACAUAAUUGAUUAUUUCUUCUGUGACUUAAAUUAGGUAAAUCUAAUUCUUUAAGUAUAUCGGCUGAUCUAAAUUCAUACCCACGCUUUGUAAUGAUACGUGCUGCUCUAUUUUGUAAACGUUGCAACUGGUUUUGAAGGGUAAUUCCAAGACAACCCAAUACUUGCGAGCAGUAAUCAAAGUGUGGUUGAAUUAAAGUUUUGUAAACUGUUACUAGAGUCCUUACAUCAACAAAAUCUCUUAAUCGUCUAAGGACGUAAAGACCCUUGUUCACUUUCUUUGUAAUUAGAUCUGUUUGAGAAUGCCAGGUUAAGGUCUCAUCUACCAUCAUACCCAGUGAUUUAGUAACG